Molecule: microRNA precursor, 78 nt
Filed under: Schistosoma curassoni
Lineage: Eukaryota; Metazoa; Platyhelminthes; Trematoda; Strigeidida; Schistosomatidae
Description: mir-3492 microRNA precursor family
Rfam family: mir-3492 microRNA precursor family
Source: Rfam by way of RNAcentral
CGCUUUUUAUAUUCGUGCUGAGAUUUUGUCACACACCAGACCACAAGGGCCGAUGAGAUCUCCAAGAUAAGUGAAGCG